UACAGAGGUCCCGAGCGUUGUUCGGAUUCACUGGGCGUAAAGGGCGCGUAGGUGGUUCGGCAAGUUCAACGUGAAAUCCCAAAGCUUAACUUUGGAACUGCAUUGAAAACUGCCGGGCUGGAGUCUGGGAGGGGGGAAUGGAAUUCUCGGUGUAGCGGUGAAAUGCGUAGAUAUCGAGAGGAACACCGGUGGCGAAGGCGAUUCCCUGGACCAGUACUGACACUGAGGCGCGAAAGCUAGGGGAG
Molecule: ribosomal RNA, 245 nt
Filed under: uncultured bacterium
Lineage: Bacteria
Description: partial 16S ribosomal RNA
Rfam family: Bacterial small subunit ribosomal RNA
Source: RNAcentral